AUCAUGCAGUGUUUAUCUUUUAGUGACUGGCUUAUUUCCCUUAGCAGAAUAUCCUCAAGCUUCUUACUUAUAGUAGCAUAUUUCACAAUUUCCUGCCUUUUAAAGGCUGAAUAAUACUCUGUUGUGUGUCUAUACCAUGUUUUGCUUAUUCAUUUAUCCAUCAGUGGACACUUGGGUUGUUUUCACAUUUUAGCUGUUGUGAAUAAUGCUGCUAUAAAUGUCAGUUUGCAAAUAAGGAUAUAUAGUCUUACGUGUUCAGAAAGAAGAGAAACCAUGUGUUGUGAACUGAUAUCCCAUCUCUGCCAUGGAAGUUAACAUAUAUGAGCACACCGGAUGGUCAAGCGUAUGACAGUGGGGAUGGAUGGGGACAGUGGAGAAGUGGAGUGCUGCUUCCCCAUCUAAAAAGACAGCCAUUUCUCAGCUUCAGUUGAUUAGUGCCAGGUAGAAAUGCCAACCAGAGGUGGCCAGACCUUCCAAUUUCUAAAACGAGGUUAGAUAUCUGAACUGACAUAUAAAAUGUCUUGACUUAAUAACAUUGGUGAAGAAUUUAUGAAACAAACAAACAGUGUGGAGAAUAAUCAACAUUCCCUUGCAAGCCUGAUGUGGCCUGUGUGUUUUAGGCUGCAACUUACUGUGUCUGUGUUGGACCAUGUGCUCAAUAGGAAAGACAGAUGAUUUGCUAGUGACAAACUGGCCUGGGAAUGCUCCAGGCAGAAGAGUAAAGGGCAGAAAUCAGCUUGGCUCUUAGUAAGGCUUCAUUUCACACCAAACAGGAGCUACAAAGAAGUUUGGAAAGACCCUUUGGUCAGAGAUUUUCCAGAAUGCUUUCAAAAAGCAGCAGCCUUCCAUGGCCAAGCGGGGCAGUGGGUGAGGCAGAGAAAGAUAGGUAAGAAAGAAGUGACAUAUGAAAUGACCGAGGCCACGGGACAUCCGUGUACCUCUGUUCAGCCAUGUCAUGUCUACCUGCAUUGUCCCAGUGGCAUUGUGAGAGGUGCCAGGGUGUGUGCUCGGCAUCGAGUGAUUUCACCGUGAGUCAUAGACGCCGCAGGUGUUUACCGCUCUAAGAUAGAAGUUCUGUAUGUGUCUGUGUGGACACACAUUUCCUGUAAUGCUGUCAGUGGCUGUCAGCUUUGGGGUUUAUACAAAGCUGUGGUCAUGUUCCAGUCACACCUUGGAUGAUUUACAAACACUGCAAACAUUGGAACUGAAAGCCUAUUAUUUUCUUGGUAAACUGACGUUGACCUCAAAGGCAAGCCGACGAUGCCUAUUCACAUUGCUCGUGAUGGAGAUACCAAUCCAUGGAACCGGGUGGCCCAGCUAUGUUGGUAGCUACACCAGAAGGCUUCUUGGCAAAGAUUCCUCCAGGGAAGGAAGGUAGCAUCGGAGAACUGUGCAUUAAGACAGGGAAGAAAUUACUGGAAUGGUGAAACAUUAAACUGGAAGGAAGCCUUAGGCAAACCUAACUGGUGAGAAAACAGACACCAAGAUGUUACCCAGGACAGGAUCUCCCAGGCUGGAUUGCAGUGGUGUGAUCAUGGCUCACUGCAGCCUCAACUCACUGGCCUAGAACAAUUCUCUCACUGAGUUUCCCAAGUAGAUGAACUACAGAUGCUGCAGCUGCAGGCAUGAGAGGAAGGCAGCUUGGACGUCUCUGUUCAACAUUGGUCAUCCAGUCUGAAAGUUUCCCAGGUACAAUUGAUCUUUUCCUCUUUCUGCUACUUUCCUUUGAACUAUUUAUCCACU
Non-coding RNA from Callithrix jacchus (white-tufted-ear marmoset), 1743 nucleotides. NCBI's taxonomy places the organism in Eukaryota, Metazoa, Chordata, Mammalia, Primates, Cebidae. The record is from RefSeq and is a predicted model, not a curated record.